CUCAUCUUCACUUUCAUAUAAAGAAAUUGAGGUACAGCAAGAUUAAGCAACCUGCCCACAGUCACAGCUGAUAAAUGGUUGAACACUAACUAAUUCAUUAAUUGACAAUAAUUGUUCAACUCAGGCAGGUGGGCUCCAAGAGCCUUAACUCUUAAUCACUACACUGUGUUGUCAAGGAAACAGCCACUGAAGAUUCUGGUUAUGGAGGUAGGUGGGCAAGGAAGUGAGCUGUGGCUGUGGCUGACUCCACAUUAAGCAACAUCCUUUUGUUACAUGAAGCCCAAAGGGAAUGCUGGGAAAGCAGGGGGCGGGCGGGGGGAGACAACGGGACACAAAAGCCCAAAGUUGAAGGAAUCUAGUUUGUAGAAGAGAAGACUGAGAAUAGAAGCUGUUCUAAUCUAGAAUGUUCUAAAGUAACAAACGCUGCUCUGAAUAAAUCUACGAAGCAGGUGUGGGAAUUUCAAGUCAGUUAAGAAUUUCAUAGCCAACUGGUGAAUGAGAUUCUUCUAUGGUACCUGUCAUGUAAUAUCAUCUCCUUUGCUCAAAAUUAAGGAAACAGGUAAUUUCCGUGGUCCAGUAAUCACGGUUCCCAAAACCAGUGCCAGGAAACUGCACCAGCACAAAGGAAAGGAAAGAAGGCAACGCAUAGAACAUAAAAGACCUUCCUCAGUUUUUCUGCCUACUCCCAAACCAAUUAUUCAUCAUCCUUCCCAAUAGGAAGAAAUAAGGCUCCCUGAAGUGCAGUCCACGAAGUGGGUGAAUUGCUUUUGUUCCGCUCCUUCCGAGGCUCGCCCACCCGAGGCAGACACAUCUACCCAGUUCUGGCAGGGACGCGCUCCAGGGCGGUGUAGGGGGCCUCGGAGUUGCCACCAAGCCUGCAGACGAGAGGAUCCUUCGCUUCGGACUCUGAAUUCAGCGCCUGUACCGGACGCUGGAAAAACCGAGUUGGGAGCGCCAAGUGAGAUCGCCUGGGGCUCUGUCUCCCCUCUGACUUGAAAUCUCGCUGGAACGUUCACACCUAAUAAAUACAGUCUUUUACUUAAGCCA
Molecule: long non-coding RNA, 1047 nt
Filed under: Vulpes vulpes (red fox)
Lineage: Eukaryota; Metazoa; Chordata; Mammalia; Carnivora; Canidae
Description: lncRNA (ENSVVUG00000007539.1)
Source: RNAcentral